This 159-nucleotide ribosomal RNA is filed under the name Quercus pagoda. Its description in RNAcentral is "5.8S ribosomal RNA". It matches the Rfam family "5.8S ribosomal RNA". Rfam says of the family: 5.8S ribosomal RNA (5.8S rRNA) is a component of the large subunit of the eukaryotic ribosome. It is transcribed by RNA polymerase I as part of the 45S precursor that also contains 18S and 28S rRNA. The record is from RNAcentral. Lineage: Eukaryota; Viridiplantae; Streptophyta; Magnoliopsida; Fagales; Fagaceae.
AUUAUUCUUAACGACUCUCGRCAACGGAUAUYUAGGCUCUCGCAUCGAUGAAGAACGYAGCRAAAUGCGAUACUUGGUGUGAAUUGCAGAAUCCCGCGAAUCAUCGAGUUUUUGAACGCAAGUUGCGCCCGAAGCCAUUCGGCCGAGGGCACGUCUGCC